AUACAUGCAAGUCGAGCGGACAGAAGGGAGCUUGCUCCCGGAUGUUAGCGGCGGACGGGUGAGUAACACGUGGGUAACCUGCCUGUAAGACUGGGAUAACUCCGGGAAACCGGAGCUAAUACCGGAUAGUUCCUUGAACCGCAUGGUUCAAGGAUGAAAGACGGUUUCGGCUGUCACUUACAGAUGGACCCGCGGCGCAUUAGCUAGUUGGUGAGGUAACGGCUCACCAAGGCGACGAUGCGUAGCCGACCUGAGAGGGUGAUCGGCCACACUGGGACUGAGACACGGCCCAGACUCCUACGGGAGGCAGCAGUAGGGAAUCUUCCGCAAUGGACGAAAGUCUGACGGAGCAACGCCGCGUGAGUGAUGAAGGUUUUCGGAUCGUAAAGCUCUGUUGUUAGGGAAGAACAAGUGCAAGAGUAACUGCUUGCACCUUGACGGUACCUAACCAGAAAGCCACGGCUAACUACGUGCCAGCAGCCGCGGUAAUACGUAGGUGGCAAGCGUUGUCCGGAAUUAUUGGGCGUAAAGGGCUCGCAGGCGGUUUCUUAAGUCUGAUGUGAAAGCCCCCGGCUCAACCGGGGAGGGUCAUUGGAAACUGGGAAACUUGAGUGCAGAAGAGGAGAGUGGAAUUCCACGUGUAGCGGUGAAAUGCGUAGAGAUGUGGAGGAACACCAGUGGCGAAGGCGACUCUCUGGUCUGUAACUGACGCUGAGGAGCGAA
Molecule: ribosomal RNA, 723 nt
Filed under: Bacillus altitudinis
Lineage: Bacteria; Bacillati; Bacillota; Bacilli; Caryophanales; Bacillaceae
Description: bacterial SSU rRNA
Rfam family: Bacterial small subunit ribosomal RNA
Source: RNAcentral